GGGGGUGUAGCUCAGUGCUAGAGCACUUGCUUAGCAUGCAGAGGCCCUGGGUUCCAUCCCCAACAGUCACA
This 71-nucleotide transfer RNA is filed under the name Fukomys damarensis (Damara mole-rat). It matches the Rfam family "tRNA". Rfam says of the family: Transfer RNA (tRNA) molecules are approximately 80 nucleotides in length. Their secondary structure includes four short double-helical elements and three loops (D, anti-codon, and T loops). Lineage: Eukaryota; Metazoa; Chordata; Mammalia; Rodentia; Bathyergidae. The record is from Rfam by way of RNAcentral.